Molecule: ribosomal RNA, 270 nt
Filed under: uncultured bacterium
Lineage: Bacteria
Description: partial 16S ribosomal RNA
Rfam family: Bacterial small subunit ribosomal RNA
Source: RNAcentral
AUUGAACGCUGGCGGCGUGCUUAACACAUGCAAGUCGAGCGGUAACAGGCGUAGCAAUACGUGCUGACGAGCGGCGAACGGGUGAGUAAUGCUUCGGAAUCUGCCUGAUAGUGGGGAAUAACUAACCGAAAGGUUAGCUAAUGCCGCAUACGUCCCCUCUUCACAACGGAGAGGCGAGAAAGCGGGGGAUCGCAAGACCUCGCGCUAACAGAUGAGCCGAAGUCGGAUUAGCUUGUUGGUGAGGUAACGGCUCACCAAGGCGACAAUCCG